This is a long non-coding RNA of Brassica napus (rape), 578 nucleotides long. RefSeq lists it as uncharacterized. The transcript is spliced from 3 exons. Lineage: Eukaryota; Viridiplantae; Streptophyta; Magnoliopsida; Brassicales; Brassicaceae. The record is from RefSeq and is a predicted model, not a curated record.
AUGCAAACAAAGACAAUCAGUUAACAUGGCUAAAGAGAGAUCAUAUAUAAUUGCUCUUCUUCUUCUUCUUCUUUCUCUGCUUCUGUGUUUUUCAUCUCAAUCUCAAGUUGGUGUUGCCGAGGCCAAACGUCACACACUUGCUACCAGGUAUUCAGAUUCUCGAUGCGCCAAUAAAAUUCUCAAAAUUCCAAGUAAAUUUCUGUUACAAAAUUAGAAAACAAACAUUCUUAAAUAAAUUGUCUGUACAUAGUUAUGGUUCAAGUUUGCUGAGGGGGUGUAAACUAGCGCCAGUGCUAAAGAACCUAAUAAUAUGAAUUUGCACGUCUUGGAAAGAGAUUCACUUCAAUUCAGAGAAUGGGAGAUGACAAAACCUGAAAAUCAAAGGAUUACACCUCACUCGAAGUCACCCAAAGGAAAAGGACCAUAAGUGAUAAAAUGAAGUUUUCAAAAAGUGAAGGAGAGUACAAGAAGAGUCGACUUUAUAAUUGUGUAACUGUUAAAAGUCUAUCAUGGAUUUGCUUAUACAUAAAUCAAUAAAUGUUUCAUAAACCAGAUAUAUUCCAAAAACUUAUGUGGAA